GGCAAUUAGCAGCCAAUCGCUGGAGGGCGAUGGUCCUUGGACACCAUCCCAGGCCUUUCUAACUCUACAAGUAAACGGCACUUGGGUCUCUAACCCAUUCUGGAAUGGAGAGCACCUGCUGUUCCCCUGAGAGUAUUUCCUCCUACCCUUGACUGUGGGCUCAGCAAACUGCUGGCUCCUCUCCAGGCCUCAGGACAAGUUGAAAUCCAGAAGCUGGAAGGAAACUGCCAAGUUUGAUCCCAAGAUGAGCUUUAAUGAAGACGCCGAUCCAGGACUGAGGCCGACCCAGGGAGCACCGCGAGGGCGUGGGAUCUGUUUCUGAUAAAAUCGACAUUGAGGUUUUGAAGAAUGAAUCAGAAAGGAAGUUCAAUUCCAUUUCAUGACUGGGCUGAACUAAAUAGAAAGCCCGUCUGUCAUUAAAGAGAGAUUUCUUUCUUCUUUUCCUUUCUUCUCUUCUCUCUCUCUUUUUGGUUGUUCUUUGACAAUAUUUUUAGAAAUUUCUAGAAUUGGUCCUGCUCUCCACAAUCGGUUGGUGGAGGGGCGGGGGUGGUUCUCGAGAACAGAUGGGAAACUGAAUUCCCAAAGAACCCAGCAACAUAUUUUACU
Long non-coding RNA from Pteronotus mesoamericanus, 606 nucleotides. RefSeq lists it as uncharacterized. The transcript is spliced from 3 exons. Lineage: Eukaryota; Metazoa; Chordata; Mammalia; Chiroptera; Mormoopidae. The record is from RefSeq and is a predicted model, not a curated record.